GAGCAAGACCCGUUGCCAGCCCGCCCGCGGUAACACCGGCGGCUCGAGUGGUAACCGUUAUUAUUGGGUCUAAAGGGUCUGUAGCCGGCCGGAUAAGUCUCUUGAGAAAUCUGGCAGCUUAACUGUCAGGCUUUCAGGAGAUACUGUCUGGCUCGAGGCCGGGAGAGGUGAGAGGUACUUCAGGGGUAGGGGUGAAAUCUUGUAAUCCUUGAAGGACCACCAGUGGCGAAGGCGUCUCACCAGAACGGACCUGACGGCAAGGGACGAAAGCUAGGGGCACGAACCGGAUUAGAUACCCGGGUAGUCCUAGCCGUAAACGAUACUCGCUAGGUGUCGGCCACGGUGCGACCGUUGUCGGUGCCGUAGGGAAGCCGUGAAGCGAGCCACCUGGGAAGUACGGCCGCAAGGCUGAAACUUAAAGGAAUUGGCGGGGGAGCACCACAACGGGUGGAGCUUGCGGUUUAAUUGGAUUCAACGCCGGAAAUCUUACCGGGACCGACAGCAAUAUGAAGGCCAGGCUGAAGACUUUGCCGGAUUAGCUGAGAGGUGGUGCAUGGCCGUCGUCAGUUCGUACUGUGAAGCAUCCUGUUAAGUCAGGUAACGAGCGAGACCCNNNNNNNNAUNNCNNNNNNNNNNNNNUNNNUCCGGUUGAUCCUGCCAGAGGUUACUGCUAUCGAGGUUCGACUAAGCCAUGCGAGUCGAAUGUAGCAAUACAUGGCGAACUGCUCAGUAACACGUGGACAACCUGCCCUUAGGACGGGGAUAAACCCGGGAAACUGGGUAUAAUACCCGAUAGGUCUCGACUGCUGGAAUGCAUCGAGAUUGAAAGCUCCGGCGCCUAAGGAUGGGUCUGCGGCCUAUCAGGUAGUAGUGGGUGUAGCGUACCUACUAGCCUACGACGGGUACGGGUUGUGAGAGCAAGAGCCCGGAGACGGAUUCUGAGACACGAAUCCAGGCCCUACGGGGUGCAGCAGGCGCGAAAACUUUACAAUGCUGGCAACAGCGAUAAGGGAACCUCGAGUGCCAGGUUACAAAUCUGGCUGUCGAGAU
Molecule: ribosomal RNA, 1050 nt
Filed under: unidentified archaeon
Lineage: Archaea
Description: bacterial SSU rRNA
Rfam family: Archaeal small subunit ribosomal RNA (bases 1-831)
Source: RNAcentral